GCCUGGCCCUGAUUGAAACGGAAAUCCUUUUUAUUCAUUUCUUUAAAAAAUAAAAAGAUUGGAGAGUAAAACAGCAAACAGC
Molecule: small RNA, 82 nt
Filed under: Flavobacterium frigidimaris
Lineage: Bacteria; Pseudomonadati; Bacteroidota; Flavobacteriia; Flavobacteriales; Flavobacteriaceae
Description: Flavo-1 RNA
Rfam family: Flavo-1 RNA
Source: RNAcentral